Pocillopora damicornis (cauliflower coral) is the source of this 510-nucleotide long non-coding RNA. The record is from RefSeq and is a predicted model, not a curated record. NCBI's taxonomy places the organism in Eukaryota, Metazoa, Cnidaria, Anthozoa, Scleractinia, Pocilloporidae.
ACACAAGCAACCACAGGGUCGCCAGUGAUUCGUGACUGAAUUUCGAACGCUGGGAUAUCAGUAGAGCAGUACUGGAGUGCUUCAUGAGAAUAUGACAACAAAGAAAAAGAGUCUUCAGGUACCACGGCAUUGACAACAUGACCAGCAAAGAUCUGAUGAUAAAAAUAGUUGAUAAAAUCUCGCAGCAUCAAUUUGAUUAUGUGUAAACUUUCAUACCACCAUCAAAUAAUUCAAAGAUUUACUUCUGUAAGGAGCAGCUGCCAGAAGAUCGAAAUGCCGCCGUGGUGUUUUCAUCAAGACUCGAAAAAAUUGGCAUGUCGCUGCCCAAGUACGUUAGUGCUUAUGAGAUGGCUGAUAGCGAAAGUGUCAAACGUGAAGACGACUACAAAAUCAGGAAAGAGGCAGAAGAAUAUACAUCCUAAGAAGCUGCAACAGCCAGAACAAUCUUAAAACUUUCCUUUUCUAAAUCGCUAUGAUAAGCGACGUAUUUAAAAAUUACUAACGCGUAUA